UGGGGAAUAUUGCACAAUGGGCGCAAGCCUGAUGCAGCCAUGCCGCGUGUGUGAAGAAGGCCUUCGGGUUGUAAAGCACUUUCAGCGAGGAGGAAGGUGGUGGACUUAAUACGUUCAUCAAUUGACGUUACUCGCAGAAGAAGCACCGGCUAACUCCGUGCCAGCAGCCGCGGUAAUACGGAGGGUGCAAGCGUUAAUCGGAAUUACUGGGCGUAAAGCGCACGCAGGCGGUUUGUUAAGUCAGAUGUGAAAUCCCCGGGCUCAACCUGGGAACUGCAUUUGAACUGGCAAGCUAGAGUCUCGUAGAGGGGGUAGAAUUCCAGGUGGUAGCGGUGAAAUGCGUAGAGAUCUGGAGGAAUACCGGUGGCGAAGGCGGCCCCCUGGACGAAGACUGAGCCGCUCAGGUGCGAAAGCGUGGGGAGCAAACAGGUUAGGAUACCCUGGUAGUCACGCCUGUAAACGAUGUCNACUUUGGAGGUUGUGCCCUUGAGGCGUGGCUUCCGGAGCUAACGCGUUAAAUCGACCGCCU
Molecule: ribosomal RNA, 529 nt
Filed under: uncultured bacterium
Lineage: Bacteria
Description: partial 16S ribosomal RNA
Rfam family: Bacterial small subunit ribosomal RNA
Source: RNAcentral